This is a non-coding RNA of Pelobates cultripes (western spadefoot toad), 277 nucleotides long. NCBI's taxonomy places the organism in Eukaryota, Metazoa, Chordata, Amphibia, Anura, Pelobatidae. The record is from the annotation of a GenBank genome assembly.
AUCGGAUUUAUGCCUCUGUAGUUUUCAGAGCUGCGCGCGCAUUCAGCCAGUCACAUAGGAAAGCAUUCAUAAUGCUUUCCUAUGGACGCUGGCGUGCUCUCACUGUGAAAAGCACCUCUAGUGGCUGUCAAUGAGACAGCCGCUAGAGGAAAUAGGGGAAGGCUUAACCCAUUAAUAAACAUAGCAGCUUCUCUGAAACUGCUAUGUUUAUUAAAAAAUGGGUUAACCCUAGCUGGACCUGGCACCCAGACCACCUUGUUAAGCUGAAGUGGUCUGG